UACAGAGGGGGCAAGCGUUGUUCGGAAUUACUGGGCGUAAAGGGCGCGUAGGCGGCCUGCUAAGUCGAACGUGAAAUCCCCGGGCUCAACCCGGGAACUGCGUCCGAUACUGGCAGGCUUGAAUCCGGGAGAGGGAUGCGGAAUUCCAGGUGUAGCGGUGAAAUGCGCAGAUAUCAGGAGGAACACCGGUGGCGAAGGCGGGUCUCUGGGCCGAAACUGACGCUGAGGAGCGAAAGCGUGGGGAGCGAACAGG
RNAcentral lists this ribosomal RNA (253 nucleotides) under uncultured bacterium. RNAcentral describes it as "partial 16S ribosomal RNA". It matches the Rfam family "Bacterial small subunit ribosomal RNA", at positions 524 to 776 of the family's 1533-position model. The record is from RNAcentral.